RNAcentral lists this long non-coding RNA (447 nucleotides) under Rattus norvegicus (Norway rat). Its description in RNAcentral is "long non-coding RNA NONRATT019171". Lineage: Eukaryota; Metazoa; Chordata; Mammalia; Rodentia; Muridae. The record is from RNAcentral.
AGACGGGAAGAACUACCAUUAAAAGACACCCCGGAACCGCCUUUCUCGGCCAGGAUCGGAACAUCUGCCGACCCUAGCACGCCGCUCCCAGGCCGGAUCCCAGACCCCAGCAGGGCUCUCGAAUCCGGCACUCCAAAACCUACAAGCGUAUCUUCGCGUCCCAUUGAGCGGUUCCCCAUGUGGAGCCAGGCCUGCAACCCGCCAAGCUGGUUCGACCGUUGGGGGAGAGGCUGCUCGAUUACUCCGGAGCGCCCAACUAAUUUUUCGACGCUCAACUAAUUUUGCCUGCGCGGCCUACAGGCUCGCAGUGCGCGUGCGCAGCUGGAGCGCGAAGAUAGCGGCGCGCAUGGGCGGCGAAUUCAACCGCCUUGAAUGUGGCAGCUGGUGAGUGUCCUGGCCUUAGGGUUUCCUUUGCCCUUUUAAAUAAAGCACAGUGCGUUUCGACAA